This 29-nucleotide non-coding RNA is filed under the name Rattus norvegicus (Norway rat). Lineage: Eukaryota; Metazoa; Chordata; Mammalia; Rodentia; Muridae. The record is from RNAcentral.
UUCCUGUCUCCUAUGAUUUAGAUGAUGGA